GCAGGCCUAAUACAUGCAAGUCGAACGGGAAGAGGCCUUUCGGGGCUUCUGAGAGUGGCGGACGGGUGCGUAACGCGUAUGCAACCAACCCCCGACGGGAGCACAGCCGGUGGAAACGCCGGGUGAUGCGCCAUGCGGCCCAGGGAGGGCAUCCUUUUUGGGCGAAAGCCUACGGGCGGUCGGGGACGGGCAUGCGUGCCAUUAGCUGGUUGGCGGGGCGACGGCCCACCAAGGCUGCGAUGGCUAGGGGAUCUGAGAGGACGGUCCCCCACACUGGUACUGAGACACGGACCAGACUCCUGCGGGAGGCAGCAGUAAGGGAUAUUGGUCAAUGGGGGGAACCCUGAACCAGCCAUGCCGCGUGAGGGAAUGAGGCCCUACGGGUCGUGAACCUCUUUUGUCCAGGGACAACAGCCCGGUCGUGAACCGGGUUUGAGGGUACUGGAAGAAUAAGCGUCGGCUAACUCCGUGCCAGCAGCCGCGGUAAUACGGAGGACGCGAGCGUUAUCCGGAUUCAUUGGGUUUAAAGGGUGCGCAGGCGGCCUUUCAAGUCAGCGGUGAAAGCCCGGGGCCCAAACCCGGAAGUGCCGUUGAUACU
Molecule: ribosomal RNA, 598 nt
Filed under: uncultured rumen bacterium
Lineage: Bacteria
Description: bacterial SSU rRNA
Rfam family: Bacterial small subunit ribosomal RNA
Source: RNAcentral